UGCAAGUGUUUCUGUUGCGGGUUGCAACUUAAGUUGAUGCUUCUUGUUUAUGUAGCCACUGCAUGUGGGGUCCUCCUGUGACAAAGGAGAUAACACCAUCAACGUCCACUUGUACAGAAGGAAAUCUGUACUCCACCAUAUGCCGUCCUUCAUUCAUGUUUUGUCGUGAGGUCCAGGAUGAACAAGUUGGGAGAAGCAUUGGAGCUAGUUAUACUGUGAUAGCUGUGUUACCUGAUGUGAACAUUCUUUUAUUGUAAACCUGAUGUGAACCAUGUUUGAUUGUAAUAAUGUGCCAAGUUUGGCUC
Molecule: non-coding RNA, 305 nt
Organism: Triticum urartu
Lineage: Eukaryota; Viridiplantae; Streptophyta; Magnoliopsida; Poales; Poaceae
Source: RefSeq, a predicted model, not a curated record